This 452-nucleotide ribosomal RNA is filed under the name uncultured Streptococcus sp. Its description in RNAcentral is "bacterial SSU rRNA". It matches the Rfam family "Bacterial small subunit ribosomal RNA", at positions 927 to 1382 of the family's 1533-position model. The record is from RNAcentral. Lineage: Bacteria; Bacillati; Bacillota; Bacilli; Lactobacillales; Streptococcaceae.
AAGCGUGGAGCAUGUGGUUUAAUUCGAAGCAACGCGAAGAACCUUACCAGGUCUUGACAUCCCGAUGCUAUUUCUAGAGAUAGAAAGUUACUUCGGUACAUCGGUGACAGGUGGUGCAUGGUUGUCGUCAGCUCGUGUCGUGAGAUGUUGGGUUAAGUCCCGCAACGAGCGCAACCCCUAUUGUUAGUUGCCAUCAUUCAGUUGGGCACUCUAGCGAGACUGCCGGUAAUAAACCGGAGGAAGGUGGGAUGACGUCAAAUCAUCAUGCCCCUUAUGACCUGGGCUACACACGUGCUACAAUGGUUGGUACAACGAGUUGCGAGUCGGUGACGGCGAGCUGAUCUCUUAAAGCCAAUCUCAGUUCGGAUUGUAGGCUGCAACUCGCCUACAUGAAGUCGGAAUCGCUAGUAAUCGCGGAUCAGCACGCCGCGGUGAAUACGUUCCCGGGCCUU